Molecule: RNA transcript, 1742 nt
Organism: Solanum dulcamara
Lineage: Eukaryota; Viridiplantae; Streptophyta; Magnoliopsida; Solanales; Solanaceae
Gene name: putative L-ascorbate peroxidase 6
Exons: 12
Source: RefSeq, a predicted model, not a curated record
CGUUUUUCCUCUUCAAUCAUUCCUCUCUCUCUCUCUCUAAAUUCUCUUUCACUGCACUAAAAUCCCCUACGUAAAUUCAACUUCACAAUUUUUCAAGGGUUAUCCGAAGGUGGUGCUUAAUUCGUUGUUUGAUCACUUCAUGCUUAAUAUUGUUUAUCUUGGUUUUGAAGACUCAAAUAGCAACAAGGUCGUGACCUGGAAAAGAAGAAGACUAAGAAGUUAAGGAUAACGCAAAGUCGCGUGGUUGAGAAUGUGGAACACCGUCGUCGUCGACUGUUGGCUUCUCAGUUCCGGCGUUUCCUCCUUUACCUCCACUUCCAAGUUGUAUUUUCAGGCCAAUUUUUCUCGAACCGCCCACUUUGGUAGCAACCCAAUUCGAGCUUCCGCCACCAUCAACGGUUCAAGUGAAGGUGUUAUUUACGAAGCGUUAUCAUGUGGAAGGAGAGCCUUACUAUCUAUGAUUACCUUGUCUCUUGUUAUGCCGUGUAAUAGAGUUAACAACAGCGUUGUUGCCAUUGCUGCUGUUGAGAACUUUCGAUUAAGGGAAGAGAUCAGGAAGGUAUUAUCCAAGGGCAAGGCUGCUGGUGUACUUCGCCUUGUAUUCCAUGAUGCAGGAACUUUUGAAAUUGAUGAGAAAAUUGGUGGUAUGAAUGGCUCUAUAGUAUUUGAACUCGACAGACCUGAAAACAAAGGCCUUAAGAAAUCUCUAAAGAUUCUGGAGAAAGCGAAGAGUCAAAUAGAUCUUGUGCAAUCAGUCUCAUGGGCUGAUAUAAUAGCUUUGGCUGGAGCUGAAGCUGUUUCAUUAUGUGGUGGACCUAGUAUCCCCAUUCAGUUGGGAAGAAUUGAUUCACUGGUGCCGGAUCCUGAAGGAAAACUUCCUGAAGAAUCACUUGAUGCCACUAGUUUGAAGCAAUGUUUUGAAAGGAAAGGCUUCUCGUGGAUGUAUGAUGCAGGAUUGCCUUUCAAUUGUGUUAACUACACCGAAAGUUUUGGUGAAUUCAUUGAGGCAGUAGGCCAAUAUGGCCUUGGAAUGAAGCCCCCCACCUAUCAUGAGGUAAGAGUUUCUUGUUUAAAAAAAGAGGUGGAAAAGACAAACAAAAUUGUAGAAGAUCAUAAGGUUCAGUGGAAAACGUAUGGUUGUUCCAUUAUGAUGGAUAAAUGGACAGUAAGGAAUGGGAAAAUGAUCAUCAAUGUUUUGGUGAAUUUUCCAAAAGGGAGUGUGUUCCUUGAAUCUCAUGAUGCUAAUGACUCUUCUACUGAUUCUAAUAAGAUGUUUAACUUGUUUGAGAAGACUAUCUUGAAAAUAGGCAAGGAAAAUGUGGUACAAGUUGUGACUGAUAAUGCAAGUGAGAACAAAAAAGUGGGUGACAUGUUGAAGGGAGUGUUCCCACAUAUUUUCUGGACUCCUUGUGCUGCUCACUGUAUCAACUUGAUGUUUGGUGACAUUUUCAAAGAGGCCCCGUAUUCUACAGAACUCAGGAACUUGUUGCGUUGUCUGGCGCGCAUACUCUGGGAAGUAAAGGGUUUGGGAAUCCAACUGUCUUCGAUAAUGCAUACUUCAAGAUACUCAUGGAGAAGCCAUGGUUGUCCUCAGGCGGCAUGACUAGUAUGGUUGGACUUCCCUCUGAUAGGGCACUUGUUGAAGAUGAUGAAUGUGUAGGAUGGAUAUCAAAGUACGCUGAGGACGAGAGUUUAUUUUUUGAUGAUUUCAAGAAUGCCUAUACCAAACUUGUUGACACUGG